GGACACGGCGUGGAGGCAUCUGGCAGAGCUGGUGGAGCGGGGCAGCCUGCCCUGCUGCAGCUCCCCCAGGGCCCGAAGCGUGGAGCGGCAAAGAGCCUCAGCAUCGCAGUCAGGUGAGUCUUCUGUGGGUCAGCCCCAAAUCCCAUGCUUGCCCUGAUGCAUGCUAGGCAGGGAUGGGCCCAUUAGAGAAGCCCAACCCUGGAUCAGGACCUGGCAUGCUGGAGGUCGGCUGGCUGGGACAAGGGUGUCCCAGGUGCUCCGUCCUGCUGUGGCUCAGGUCCCCUUCCUGCUUUUCAGGUGCUAAGAGACAGACGGGUGGGCCAUCGAGCUCCAGCUGCAGCCGUUGCAGCAUAGCUGAUGAGAAGAUGCAGUAUCUGGUGCUAUCAGCACUGCCUGAUGACGUGCCCUCUCUGGGCCCUGACUUCUGGGACAUGGCGUGGAGGGAUCUGGCAGAGCUGGUGGAGCGGGGCAGUCUGCCCUGUUGCAGCUCCUUCAGUUUCUGGAGAUCUAUCAGAAGAAUGAAGGACUUAAUGUCCCUUAAUGUGCAUCAGGGAGCCUUGACAGAGCAGGUCCCUGUCUGUGCCCCUGGACGUACGCACACUGGCAAGGCCCACACAAAUUCCAGAACAGAGCCCAGCUGGUUGCGCUCUUUUCUGCUGCGUUGUCUGGGCUUUUCCUGGCAGGAAACGAAACCUGCCCAGACGAAGAAUCAAGGUGGCAAGGCAGCCAGCAGAACAGUAGGAGAUCCCACUGAGGACCGCUUUACCAGCUGGCCACCACCAGCAGAGGAAUGCAUUUUACGCGAGAACAUCCUUCUUCCAGACGGACGGCUGCCUCAGAGACCGGAUAAUCUGGUGCCCCCUCCAGAGCGGGCAGUGAAUCCACCAGCACUGCGUAGCAGCUUCCGCAACUCUGCAGGAGUGGCAACAAGAAGACCAGCUUCAACCCGCAGAGAUGUUGGUGUUGAGACUUCUGACAGAGAAGAGAACUCACAGUGUUGUGAGUAUUGUGCACAACGCAGAACUGAGAUGGGCAGUGGCAAGGAAAGGGGAAGAGCUGAUGAGUUGCAUGCUGGAACCAGCUCCUACACAGUGCCACCGCACCUGGGGACAGUCACACGUGAGAACAUCAUGUCAAUAGAUGCAGCUGUACGUUGGUGGGAGCAGAAGACACAGGUGGCUGUUGGACUCUCCAUGCAUCCACAAGAAGUUCCCAAAAAGCACAGGACAGUAAGACCACCACCAAUGGUGGCAGCACCUUCUCGCCUGGCUGCGCAAGAUGACUGCAGAAGUGCAGCCAGCCAGCGUCUGAACUCUGCCCUUGGGGGCAGGAGAGCCAGAGAGCAGCCCCCACAGAUUUGCAGCUGUAUGCACCCACCUGGGGAAGAGAGACUUCAUCAACCAAACCAGGUGCAAUGUUGGUGCGACAACAAUAAGGCCCAGAGGUCUUCUGAAAUGUCUGUGCCCAGCCAAAUGUUUUGGGAGGGCAGUGUAACAGUGAGAGCAAGAAGAAAUUCAGAGGAGGCAGUCUGGCACAGCAUGAUAAAGGUACGGCACCGGCAUGUGCAGUAGCCCCCCA
Phasianus colchicus (ring-necked pheasant) is the source of this 1578-nucleotide long non-coding RNA. The record is from Ensembl. NCBI's taxonomy places the organism in Eukaryota, Metazoa, Chordata, Aves, Galliformes, Phasianidae.